GACCUGCGGAAGGAUCAUUAACGAAUAUAAAUCGGUCGGUUGUCGCUGGCCUUCGGGCCAUGUGCACGCUGACCCGUGUUUCAACAAUUUCUCACCUGUGAACCUAAUGUAGGAUGCCUCUCCUCCGGGAGGGGGGACCUAUGUCUUCAUAUACAUCUUCGUGUAGAAAGUCUUAGAAUGUUUACUAUCAGAGAGUCGCGACUUCUAGGAGACGCGAAACUCUUGAGAUAAAAGUUAUUACAACUUUCAGCAAUGGAUCUCUUGGCUCUCGCAUCGAUGAAGAACGCAGCGAAAAGCGAUAUGUAAUGUGAAUUGCAGAUCUACAGUGAAUCAUCGAAUCUUUGAACGCACCUUGCGCUCCUCGGUGUUCCGAGGAGCAUGCCUGUUUGAGUGUCAGUAAAUUCUCAACCCCUCUUGAUUUUUUUUGAGGGAGUUUGGAUAGUGGGGGUUGCCGGAGACUAAUAAGACUCGGGCUCUCCUGAAAUGCAUUGGCUUGCGAUAGACUUUCGACUUUGCGCGACAAGGCUUUCGGCGUGAUAAUGAUCGCCGUUCGCUGAAGCGCAUGAAUGAAGGUUUCGCGCCUCUAAUAUGUCGACUCUUAUUAUCUCUUCGGAGAGAAAAGGUCUUCUUUAUUGACUUUUGACCUCAAAUCAGGUAGGAUUACCCGCUGAACUUAAGCAUAUCAAUAAGCGGAGGAAAAGAAACUAACAAGGAUUCCCCUAGUAACUGCGAGUGAACCGGGAAAAGCUCAAAUUUUGAAUCUGGCGAUCUUUAUGGUCGUCCGAAUUGUAAUCUAGAGAAGGUUUUCCGCGCUGGACCGU
Molecule: ribosomal RNA, 821 nt
Filed under: uncultured Rhizopogon
Lineage: Eukaryota; Fungi; Basidiomycota; Agaricomycetes; Boletales; Rhizopogonaceae
Description: eukaryotic LSU rRNA
Rfam family: 5.8S ribosomal RNA (bases 242-396)
Source: RNAcentral